CCUACGGGAGGCAGCAGUGGGGAAUAUUGGACAAUGGGCGAAAGCCUGAUCCAGCAAUGCCGCGUGAGUGAUGAAGGCCUUAGGGUUGUAAAGCUCUUUUACCAGGGAUGAUAAUGACAGUACCUGGAGAAUAAGCUCCGGCUAACUCCGUGCCAGCAGCCGCGGUAAUACGGAGGGAGCUAGCGUUGUUCGGAAUUACUGGGCGUAAAGCGUACGUAGGCGGUUAUUCAAGUCAGAGGUGAAAGCCUGGAGCUCAACUCCAGAACUGCCUUUGAAACUAGAUAGCUAGAAUCUUGGAGAGGUGAGUGGAAUUCCGAGUGUAGAGGUGAAAUUCGUAGAUAUUCGGAAGAACACCAGUGGCGAAGGCGACUCACUGGACAAGUAUUGACGCUGAGGUACGAAAGCGUGGGGAGCAAACAGGAUUAGAUACCCUGGUAGUCCACGCCGUAAACGAUGAUAACUAGCUGUUCGGGCUCUACGAGCUUGAGUGGCGCAGCUAACGCAUUAAGUUAUCCGCCUGGGGAGUACGGUCGCAAGNUUAAAACUCAAAGGAUUGACGGCUGNGACGNGCGAGCGACACGAGGGAGAG
Molecule: ribosomal RNA, 589 nt
Filed under: uncultured bacterium
Lineage: Bacteria
Description: bacterial SSU rRNA
Rfam family: Bacterial small subunit ribosomal RNA
Source: RNAcentral